GAUGAACGCUGGCGGCGUGCCUAAUACAUGCAAGUCGAGCGAACGGACGAGAAGCUUGCUUCUCUGAUGUUAGCGGCGGACGGGUGAGUAACACGUGGAUAACCUACCUAUAAGACUGGGAUAACUUCGGGAAACCGGAGCUAAUACCGGAUAAUAUUUUGAACCGCAUGGUUCAAAAGUGAAAGACGGUCUUGCUGUCACUUAUAGAUGGAUCCGCGCUGCAUUAGCUAGUUGGUAAGGUAACGGCUUACCAAGGCAACGAUGCAUAGCCGACCUGAGAGGGUGAUCGGCCACACUGGAACGGAGACACGGUCCAGACUCCUACGGGAGGCAGCAGUAGGGAAUCUUCCGCAAUGGGCGAAAGCCUGACGGAGCAACGCCGCGUGAGUGAUGAAGGGCUUCGGAUCGUAAAACUCUGUUAUUAGGGAAGAACAUAUGUGUAAGUAACUGUGCACAUCUUGACGGUACCUAAUCAGAAAGCCACGGCUAACUACGUG
Molecule: ribosomal RNA, 497 nt
Filed under: uncultured bacterium
Lineage: Bacteria
Description: partial 16S ribosomal RNA
Rfam family: Bacterial small subunit ribosomal RNA
Source: RNAcentral